CCUACGGGAGGCAGCAGUGAGGAAUAUUGGUCAAUGGACGCAAGUCUGAACCAGCCAUGCCGCGUGCAGGAAGACGGCUCUAUGAGUUGUAAACUGCUUUUGUACGGGGGUAAACUCAGAUACGCGUGUCUGUUUGCAAGUAUCGCACGAAUAAGGACCGGCUAAUUCCGUGCCAGCAGCCGCGGUAAUACGGAGGGUUCAAGCGUUAUCCGGAUUUAUUGGGUUUAAAGGGUGCGUAGGCGGUCGGAUAAGCGAGUGGUGAAAUGCCGAGGCUCAACUGCGGAAGUGCCGCGCGAACUGUGGGGCUAGAGAGUAGUUGCGGUAGGCGGAAUGUAUGGUGUAGCGGUGAAAUGCUUAGAGAUCAUACAGAACACCGAUUGCGAAGGCAGCUUACCGAGCUACUUCUGACGUUGAGGCACGAAGGCGUGGGGAGCGAACAGGAUUAGAUACCCCAGUAGUC
This 460-nucleotide ribosomal RNA is filed under the name uncultured bacterium. RNAcentral's name for it is "partial 16S ribosomal RNA". It matches the Rfam family "Bacterial small subunit ribosomal RNA", at positions 338 to 795 of the family's 1533-position model. The record is from RNAcentral.